This 749-nucleotide ribosomal RNA is filed under the name uncultured Capnocytophaga sp. RNAcentral describes it as "bacterial SSU rRNA". It matches the Rfam family "Bacterial small subunit ribosomal RNA", at positions 28 to 776 of the family's 1533-position model. Lineage: Bacteria; Pseudomonadati; Bacteroidota; Flavobacteriia; Flavobacteriales; Flavobacteriaceae. The record is from RNAcentral.
GAUGAACGCUAGCGGCAGGCCUAACACAUGCAAGUCGAGGGAGAGGUUAUCUUCGGGUAACCGAAACCGGCGCACGGGUGCGUAACGCGUAUACAAUCUGCCUUUCACAUAGGGAUAGCCCGAAGAAAUUUGGAUUAAUACCUAAUGGUAUAUAAGAGCGGCAUCGUUUUUAUAUUAAAGCUACGGUGGUGAAAGAUGAGUAUGCGUUCUAUUAGCUAGUUGGAGAGGUAACGGCUCCCCAAGGCGACGAUAGAUAGGGGUUCUGAGAGGGAUGUCCCCCACACUGGUACUGAGAUACGGACCAGACUCCUACGGGAGGCAGCAGUGAGGAAUAUUGGACAAUGGUCGGAAGACUGAUCCAGCCAUGCCGCGUGCAGGAUGAAGGUCCUAUGGAUUGUAAACUGCUUUUGUAAGGGAAGAAUAAGGAGUACGUGUACUUUGAUGACGGUACCUUACGAAUAAGCAUCGGCUAACUCCGUGCCAGCAGCCGCGGUAAUACGGAGGAUGCGAGCGUUAUCCGGAAUCAUUGGGUUUAAAGGGUCCGUAGGCGGGCUGAUAAGUCAGAGGUGAAAGCGCUUAGCUCAACUAAGCAACUGCCUUUGAAACUGUCAGUCUUGAAUGAUUGUGAAGUAGUUGGAAUGUGUAGUGUAGCGGUGAAAUGCUUAGAUAUUACACAGAACGCCGAUAGCGAAGGCAUAUUACUAACAAUUUAUUGACGCUGAUGGACGAAAGCGUGGGGAGCGAACAGG